GACGAACGCUGGCGGCGUGCUUAACACAUGCAAGUCGAACGGAAAGGCCCUGCUUUUGUGGGGUGCUCGAGUGGCGAACGGGUGAGUAACACGUGAGUAACCUGCCCUUGACUUUGGGAUAACUUCAGGAAACUGGGGCUAAUACCGGAUAGGAGCUCCUGCUGCAUGGUGGGGGUUGGAAAGUUUCGGCGGUUGGGGAUGGACUCGCGGCUUAUCAGCUUGUUGGUGGGGUAGUGGCUUACCAAGGCUUUGACGGGUAGCCGGCAUGAGAGGGUGACCGGCCACAUUGGGCCUGAGAGACGGCGCAGACGGCAAUGGGAGGCAGCGGGGGGGAAUAUUGCACAACGGGCGGGAGCCUGAUGCAGCAAUGCUGCGUGUGGGAUGACGGCCUUCUGGUGGUAAACCGCUUUCGCCUGUGACGAAGCGUGAGUGACGGUAAUGGGUAAAGAAGCACCGGCUAACUACGUG
RNAcentral lists this ribosomal RNA (468 nucleotides) under uncultured bacterium. Its description in RNAcentral is "partial 16S ribosomal RNA". It matches the Rfam family "Bacterial small subunit ribosomal RNA", at positions 28 to 507 of the family's 1533-position model. The record is from RNAcentral.